GUUAUGUAUAUGUAUGANGUUAUGAUGCGAGUUACUCUNUGUAGUAUUGCUUGCACGUACUUGUAUGUUUAUUUGCAAAAUGUUGUCGGCGUGCACUUCUCCCCUAGUAGAACGUCGCGACCCGUUGGGUGUUGGUCUAC
Molecule: ribosomal RNA, 140 nt
Filed under: Heterospilus sp. MAS-2010
Lineage: Eukaryota; Metazoa; Arthropoda; Insecta; Hymenoptera; Braconidae
Description: partial 28S ribosomal RNA
Source: RNAcentral